ACGGGUGAGUAACGCGUGGAUGAUCUACCCUGGAGUUUGGGAUAGCAGCUGGAAACGGCUGGUAAUACCGGAUACGGCACCAUUUCAUAUUUGGUGUUAAAGGAGGCCUCUGCAUAUGCUUUCGCUUUUGGGAUGAGUCCGCGUUUCAUUAGGUAGUUGGUGAGGUAACGGCUCACCAAGCCUUCGAUGAAUAGCCGACCUGAGAGGGUAAUCGGCCACACUGGGACUGGAACACGGCCCAG
This 242-nucleotide ribosomal RNA is filed under the name uncultured bacterium. RNAcentral describes it as "partial 16S ribosomal RNA". It matches the Rfam family "Bacterial small subunit ribosomal RNA", at positions 102 to 334 of the family's 1533-position model. The record is from RNAcentral.